RNAcentral lists this ribosomal RNA (497 nucleotides) under uncultured bacterium. Its description in RNAcentral is "partial 16S ribosomal RNA". It matches the Rfam family "Bacterial small subunit ribosomal RNA", at positions 27 to 507 of the family's 1533-position model. The record is from RNAcentral.
GGGGGGGGGGGGGGGGGGGGGGGGGGGGGGGGGGGGGGGCGGGGGGGGGGGGGGCCUGCGCCGCUGGCGUUAGCGGCGGGCGGGUGAGUGACACGUGGGUAACCUACCUAUAAGCCUGGGAUCACUUCGGGAAACCGGAGCUAAUACCGGAUAAUAUAUUGAACCGCCUGGUUCACUAGUGACAGCUGGUUUUGCUGUCACUUAUAGAUGGAUCCGCGCCGCAUUAGCUAGUUGGUAAGGCAACGGCUUACCAAGGCAACGCUGCGUAGCCGACCUGAGAGGGUGAUCGGCCACACUGGAACUGAGACACGGUCCAGACUCCUACGGGAGGCAGCAGUAGGGAAUCUUCCGCAAUGGGCGAAAGCUUGACGGAGCAACGCCGCGUGAGUGAUGAAGGUCUUCGGAUCGUAAAACUCUGUUAUUAGGGAAGAACAAAUGUGUAAGUAACUAUGCACGUCUUGACGGUACCUAAUCAGAAAGCCACGGCUAACUACGUG